UUCAGAUGAGACUUCAUUACGAUCCUUUCCUGUAUAUUCGGCAUUCAAUUGUAAAUUAAUUUGUUUUAAGCCGACUAAUUGGUGCUGUGUGCCAAAUGCAAUUAAAAAUUAAUUAUUGGCCCCAAAACGUGGAAGCUAAUGAUCUAAAGCGACUUUUAAAAAAUGUUCAUGAUUCAAGUAAAUUUUUCUUAAAAAAUGUAGCCUUUUCAGCCACCUUAUCCAUCUGUCGUUCAUGGUUUUUAAAUGAUAUCCAUUGAAGUAAAUACAUAAUUUUUAAGGCUCUCUGCCUAUAUUUAUCUCGGUGGUGGAGCCACUAAAUAUUUAAGUAAGUGCGUGACUCCUCACCUCAUAGUUCUUGAUUAUAAGUUUAUGUAAUGGAUCAGUUGCGCCGGUCACAGAAUCGUGUUUUGAUGCUUGAUUCUUGUAGAUAAGCUCAAAAUAUAAAGAUCUGUCCGAAUAGUAAUUUUUACAUUCAAGAUAAACCGAGAUAUCAGGCUUUGAAAAAUUGCGUUUUGACGUCUUCCACCAUGGUAGUGACACCCUUGGUUUUUUCUACCUCGGUUUUAUCGAUCAGUAGUAAAUGCAUAUGCACUGGUUGCUUGACUGGAAACACGGGUAAAAUCAAGGUGGCAUAAACCAAGGGUGUCACUACCAUGGUGGAUGACGUCAAAACCUGAGUUUUUUAAAGGGUGAUAUCUUGUUUAAUAUUGGACGUAGGAAGUUGCUAUUUAGACAGAUCUUUUUAUUUUUAGCUAAUCUACGAGAAUAAUACAUCAAAACACGAUUCUGUGACCAGCCACCAGCGCAACUGGCCCAUUAAUUUUGAUUGCACUGAAGUAUUGCUGCCCUUCUUUAAUCAAUUUUUCCCCUCUUUUUUUAGAAUUUGAACUGAAAAAGUUUGAUGAGUCUGAAACAGACUUUGACACAUUAUAAAAACUGCUGUCCAUUCAGCUCUCUUAAAACGUCUAACAGAAUCAAAGACGGUGCAGAGAAUGAUAGAGUAUGCAGUAAUCACUUGGUAGCUGAAGUGCAUCUGGAGCUGUAUCAAACUGCACUGUAUGUUUCAUCUAUCGGCCUCUCAACUAUUUCUUGUCUAUGCAUGGGAUGGUUUUGAAAAUUUCCGACCGGUCGACCAGAUGAAAUUUUUUUGAGAGGUUUCUCGCGCUGAUUUAACUUUACUCUGUCCAAUUAUCAAUUGUUUAAUCUAAGGUGUAUUCAAGCAAUUUUGUCAAAGUUUUCUGCAAGAUACGCUGUAUUACUCGUUUCCCUUAUUUCCUUGAUCGGGAAAUUGUCUGUAAGGAUUACAAUUAUUUUAUCAAGGAUCAUUUGAGGAUAAUUAGCAGUAAUUCAAUGAAAAAUGUUCAACUAAGUAAGUACACAUUGCAACAGACUCAUUGCUAAUCAUACUUAUUUGUUUCAUUAUUAUUUCUAUUAUUAAGUCAGAUGUCUUGAUAUGAACAUAAAUUAUAAGGGUGUUGGCAUUAGUGUGUAUUACUGCUCCAAUAUGGGUUGCUUUUUGGGGGGAGAUUCGUAUCCUAGCACCAAGAACUUUUUUUUCUUUUGGUACCUAUUUUUCAGCAAAGUAUGAGCCCAGAGCUUUUUAAUUGAUUUAGAUGGUCUUGUAAAUCAUCAUUGCUUGAAUUCAUUGUCCUUCGCGAUUUUAAAUUACGUUUGUGGUCUACCAAACCCUCCUGAAGUACUUUUUUGAAACAAGGAAAAGAAAUGCUUCUAGAGGUAUGUCGUCAUUAGUAUGCAUUCAAUGAACUGUCAGAGUGUUUAAAUCCACUAAAAAAAAGAUUUUAAGGAAGAAUAUUUUGUCUACGAAUUUGUUAUUGCAUUUUUUAUCACUGCAGAACUUUAUCAUGCCUUCAAUGACUUGUUUUUGUUUCUCUUUUUGGUUAGAAAAUAUAUUUUUCUCUUUGAACUUUUCUUUUGUUUUUAUUUUUAACAAAUGCAUUUAGGUAUUCUUUCCCAUUUCACUCUGCAGAUAGUAGAAGUUGUAUGCCAGCACCAAUAGCAACCAGGUUGCUUCAGUGACACCAAGUCCGCUAAGUAUGUUAGGGUAUUUGUGCUUAUUUCCUAAAAUACCAGAUAAGUCAAGUCAAUUGCUAGCCUUACUUCAGCAAACUUCAAUCUAUUCCUGCCGGUUAAACUUUAACACGCGGUACUGUCUUGAAGCACCAGUAACUUUUGCAGGUUUUAAAUUAAUUAGCAUUCCAUUUCACAAAGUAAGAUCUAAAGUUUUAGGAUGCAUAUUAUAGUGGGUCUUAGGAUGGCAUAUCAAGUUGAUCCUGGGUGUUGAUGAAAGGUUCAGCCCCUUGAAAAUUCGAAGAUGUUUCUUAUUUUUUGAACAGCCUUUCUUAUUUCUACCCGGUUUUCAUAAAAGAGUUAAUUCCUGUAUUUCUUUACAUCAGCAUCUCUAAGGAGGAAGACAGAAAUCUUUAAACAAUUCAGGGUUGUAUAUUCUUCUUUUUACAAUUAUGAUUUUUUACUGGAUAGCCCUCUCUUAUGCUCUACUGAUUUACUUAAUGAAGUGAUUAACCUUUGCUGAUCAUAUUUUACGAAAUAAUUUUUCUUACACAUCAAUGUGCAUAUUUUGACUGAUCAGGGGAGGUCAUAAUGGCUCUGUUUUGGAUUUUGGGUGAGAGAAAGAACUAUGAAAAUGUAAUACUGAUAUAAGAUACAAGAAUUGCAAAUAGGUCAAGCCAAGCAUUGAACCCACAACCCUCAAAACCCCAUCUCAGAGCUCUAGCCGCCAGACUAUCUGUCAUUAACAUGUGACAAAGUAGCCUAUUGAGACAUAAUCAGUGUGUGGUGCAUCGCACAUUGAUUACCAUCCAAAAUACAGGACCUUUGGGGGCUUCUGCUUCCCAGAGGUUCAUCGGCUAAAUCACUGAAACAUGUCAACUUUUGUUUUAACAAAAGCUCUUAUUUAUAAUCAAAUCAUUAAAAUCCAAGGCAGAGUCACUGUGACCCCUUUAAAACCCUGAUUAAGAGUUAGCUUCAUAUCAUUCAAUUGAAAUAGUGUGUGAAUGAGCCAUCGAAUUCAUGUUGAUUUUCAUCAUUUUAUUCCCCAUCCCUAACAUGUAUGAGCAAAGAAGAAUUACCUAUAAGUGAGUUUUUCAUGUCGGACAAAAAAGUGCUUGACAAACCAAGGUGUCCUAGAAAACUAGGACUUAAUGGAACAUGGAUGUACAUGUCCUUCCAUUAAGACUUUCAAUUGUGUCAGCUUCUUUGUUUUCUCCAUAGCUUGUCUACUCACUUAUUUUCUUGCCCAACUUCUCUCUUACCACAAACUGAAGCUCUGAAGCUUUGUUGCCCAUUCUAAGUACCUUUAAGUUCUUGUGAUUUGUUUAACUAUGUUUCUUUGAGUAACUUUUGAAUACCGUUUUUGUGCAUGUUCUGAUGUUUCUUUCAAUUAUGUUAUUGGGAUAUUGUGGGGGUAAUGUUAAUGUUUGCCUUUUUACAUUUCUCUAUUUAAUAUUUAUUAUCUUUAUGUUGUUAUACUUCUGUGUAUUUUUGUAAUUAUUGUUUGAUAAAGAAUUUUAUUGUACCAAAGAUUAAUAAAAUCAAAUUGUUAUUUAUUUCUUUUGUUCUAUUUUUAACUAAAGUAAUCAUGAAAGCUAAAUAAGUACUGUUUACACAUUCAUAUUCAUUUAGAAAGUCAAUUUCAAACCAACCUAAAGGAAUUGAAAUCCAAUACAUUCUUUUAUUUUAUUAUUUUCUUUGCGCGAGUAAUAUCUUCGACAAAAGUGCCGUAGACAAUUUAUUUCAGGAAAGUUAUCAUUUACCUCCAAAUUUCCGGAACCUAAUGCUAGUAAGAUUUUGUGCCUGGUGGAAAAAUAAUUUAAGAUGUAGUCAAAGAUAGCCCAAUAGAAUUUAGUAAAUUCAAAUCAGGUUGUUAAUUUAAACUUAGGAGAGAGAACAACUUUGUAGUAACAAAUUGAAUUUAUUUACAAACAAAAUAACAAAAAAAAGUAGUAAAAAAGUAGUUUCACAGUCAACU
Molecule: long non-coding RNA, 4006 nt
Filed under: Bemisia tabaci
Lineage: Eukaryota; Metazoa; Arthropoda; Insecta; Hemiptera; Aleyrodidae
Description: lncRNA ENSSWEETPG012350
Source: RNAcentral